This 253-nucleotide ribosomal RNA is filed under the name uncultured bacterium. Its description in RNAcentral is "partial 16S ribosomal RNA". It matches the Rfam family "Bacterial small subunit ribosomal RNA", at positions 524 to 776 of the family's 1533-position model. The record is from RNAcentral.
UACGUAGGGAGCAAGCGUUGUUCGGAUUUACUGGGCGUAAAGGGCGCGUAGGCGGCAAAUUAAGUCAGCUGUGAAAUCUCCGAGCUUAACUCGGAACUGUCAGCUGAUACUGAUCUGCUAGAGUGCGGAAGGGGCAAUCGGAAUUCUUGGUGUAGCGGUGAAAUGCGUAGAUAUCAGGAAGAACACCCGUGGCGAAGGCGGCUCUCUGGGACGGUACUGACGCUGAGACGCGAAAGCGUGGGGAGCGAACAGG